UAUUCAUUGCAGCACUAUUCACAAUGGCCAAGACAUGGAAACAACCUAAAUGACUGGAUUAGGAAGAUGUGGUACAUAUACACAAUGGAAUAGUACUCAGGCAUAAAAAAGAAUAAAAUAAUGCCAUUUGCAGCAACAUGGAUGGAACUAGAGACUCUCAUACUGAGUGAAGUAAGUCAGAAAGAGAAAGACAAAUACCAUAUGAUAUCACUUAUAUCUGGAAUCUGAUAUACAGCACAAAUGAACCUUUCCACAGAAGAGAAAAUCAUGGACUUGGAGAAGAGACUUAUACUUGCCAAGGCGGAGGGAGAGGGAGUUGGAUGGAUUGGGAACUUGGGGUUAAUAGAUGCAGACUAUUGCCCUUGGAAUGGAUAAGCAAUGAGAUCCUGCUGUGUAGCACUUGGAACUAUGUGUAGUCACUUAUGAUGGAGCAUGAUAAUGUGACAAAAAAGAAUCUAUACGUGUGUGUAAUUGGUUCACCAUGCUGUAUAGUAGAAAAUUGACAGAACACUGUAAACCAGCUAUACUGAAAAAAGUAAAAAUCAUUAUAUAAAUAAAAAUUAUUUUAUAAAGGUAGACUAAUAUUAUACGUGAUUUUUUAAGAAAAAAAGUUUACUCUUUGUUUUAACUUAGUUUUGGAAGACAGCAGAAAAGUGUCUUAAGCAAGGGUCCUUUCUUCUAAUUUAGACAGAGUGGCAUUCUCGCUAGUGACUGGGACAUAUGUACCCCUAUCCCUGGCCACUUACCCUCAAACUUUCGAAAUUGGCCUCCGGAAACCAUCCCAGGGUGUUUCCCAGCUGUGUGUCUCUCCCCCAGACUCUGUCCCACCAGACACAUUUCUCACAUUCUUAGCUUCUCACCUAUCAUCCUUUACUGGGAGAGCAGUGAGGCAACCCUAAAUAAUUUGGGGGGUUUUCAGUGUGGAGGACAAGGAAUGUACCUGUCAUUCACUGACCCAAAAGUCCCUGACACUCACCAUGUUUCAGAAUCUUCUUGAUUCUGUCCUGCACAGGAGUAAACAGAAGAUAACCAUUCAUUUCUCUGUGUCCUUCUAUGUCUAAGAGACUAAGUCUACAAAGCUGUACAUUUUGCAGGGUAUUUAAGGCAACCAGGAGACACUGCAAGACCUCUUCCUUAGAAGCAUUUGCACACCGAGUCGGUAAUGCCUGGUGAACAUCGUCUCCAUCUGGUGGAACAAAGCAAAGUAUCCUCUUACAAGCUCAUUAAACCUCUGCUGGGUCACUCUAUUCCCAGCUCACCUAGAGCAGCUGUCUGCUUAAGAGAUGUCACGUCCACCUCCCCUUUGUGCUCUGUGUUUCAGUGAUUCACAGAGUGACGGAAAUCUUCAGCGCUUUCUCUUCCCAUCUUGCCCGGGAAACCUGUUGGCAAUUAUAGCCUUUACUCGACAAGGUCCUUUUGACAUAGCAGCUGAUGGCAGUUGCCACCUGGAGGAUUCAGCUGUUUUAGGAACGGGGUGACAGUCAUCGGCUUGGAUUUCCACUGGCUACCACUUUUGCUGUUAAAACUUUUCCAAGACUUUUGGGGGUGGUUAUUUCUUCUUUUGCCAUCGUGACUCUUUUCCUUUCUCACCAUGGGUGCUGUCGUGUAUAAUUAAGCUCUGUGCUCUAAAAUAAAGUCAGAAGUGGUGAUUACAUUACCAUCAGCUGAAUGCCUAUGGAAUUUAGAGCAGCUUCAUGUGGUGACUUUUAAUUUUGUUUGCUUUUAACAAGAACUUAGUUCAUACACCCAUGAAACAUUUCACUUUAGAAACUAGAGGAUGGGUUUGAAUCACCCUGUUUGCAUCUUGACAUCAGAAUUUUUCCACCUGGGCUCUAUUAACAUUUUAGGUUGGAUAACUCUUUGCUGUAGAAAGUGUCUUGUGCAUUAUAGGAUGUUUACCAGCAUCCCUACCUAUGCCAAUAGGACCCUUCUCUCAAGCUGUGACAUCAAAAAAUGUCUCCAGUCAUUACCAAAUGUCCCCUGCGGGUCAAAUUUGUCUCCAGUUGAGAAUCAUUGUUCUAAGUGAUAAAUUAUUGAUAUAGAUCGUAUUCAGUUUGUUAACAUACAUUUUCUUUUUUGACAUUUUAUUUAUUUUUUCUUUUCCAUUAUGGUUUUCCACAGGAUAUUGAAGAUCGUUCCCUAUACUCUACAUUAGGACCUGCUUUAUGCAGCCUACAUGUAAUAGUUUGUAUCUGCUAAUCCCAAAGUCCAAACCCAUCCCUCCCAACUCUCCUCCCCCUUGGCAACUACUGGUCUGUCCUCUGUGUCUGUGAGUCUGACUCUGUCUCAUGGAUAAGUUCAUUUAUGUCAUAUUUUAGAUUCCACACAUAAGAGAUAUUAUAUAAUAUUCAUCUGUCUCUUUCUGACUUACUUCACUUAGUAUGAUAAUCUCUAGGUCCAUACAUGUUGCUACAAAUGGCAUUAUUUCAUUCUUUUUAUGGCUGAAUAAUGUUCCAUUGUAUAGAUACAUAAACCACACCUUCUUUAUCCAGUCCUCUGCCAAUGGACAUUUAGGUUAGUUCUGUGUCUUGGCUAUUGUGAAUGGUGCUGCUAUGACGUAAGGGUGCAAGUAUCUUUUUGAAUUAUAGUAUUGUUAGUCCCAAGAAGGGGGGCAAGAGCGUGGGAGAAGACGGGAGGAUACUGAGGAAUUUGCUAAGGAGGGAGGAAGGAAGCUGGUUCUCACAGGAAACAGUCUCCAAUUCCUGGUGACGGCAGGAUGGAGUCAGGUCCACAGGGUAGCAGCUGGUACUUGAAGACGCAGGGCACUGCUAAGAAAAAUGUAGCCAGGGGUCCAUAAGAACUGAUUCAAAGAUGACUGACAGUUAACUUCAGAUACUUUGUUUCAGUCUCAAGAUUGAGGUUCACCACCAGCCCACUCCUUAGAAAAUAGGCAAGGGAGUUUCUAGAUGUGGCUCAGCGAGUUAAGAACCUGACAUAGCAUCCAUGAGGAUAGGAGUUUGAUUCCUGACCUUGUUCAGUGGUUUAAGGAUCUGGCAUUGCCACAGCUGCUGUAUAGGUCACAGAUGUGGCUGUGCCUGUGGCGUAGGCCAGCAAUUGCAGCUUCAAUUCAACCUCUAGCCUGGGAACUUCCAUAUGCUGUAUACGUGCAGCCAUAAAAAGAAAAAAACAAAGGCAGAAUAUCCUAUAUCCACUGUGUUUUGCAGUCCGCACUGCCUAUUCGAAUGCCUAUAGCGUGACACUGGCCACACAGGGCUAUUCUAGACCUGAGCCCUCUCAUCCCCUGCCCCUCAAGUGAGUUCAUGCGAUCCCAGGAUGCUUCCUGUGGACUCACCAUCACUCUCGGUCCACAGCUGCAGUGUGCCCAGGUCUUGGCCUGACUCCAGGGAGGUCUGGCUGAUAGAAAGAUGGCAGAACCUGACUGGCCUCUUCUUUGAUCCUCAGCAGCUCUUCUCUGGCAGUCCUCAACGACACCCACCUGAGCACCUAAGUUUUUCGCUGCUGAAUAAAUCCUCUAGCUGCCAAAGGAUUUAUUCCCCAUCACUGUAAAAUUUAUUUAACAGUACCUGACAUUAUUGGCCCAGAAGCACAAAGUCAGGUGAUAAGAAUUAAACAAGACUGAGGAUGGGCAAAGUGAGAAAUGAAAUAUGUAAGAGGUGCUGAUGGAUUUCUGAGAUGCCCUUUAGGAAAUAAAAUACUUGAAUAAGCGAAGCCAGAUGCAUAUUAUGGUCUAAAAGGAGACGGAACAUCAGGAUGAGACAAUGAGUAUGUUCAGUAAGAACCAGGAAAUGUACUAGAAAUAGCAAAGGACUUAGAAUCUGUCCAGUGUGGGUGCAGAUCUCAGCUGUGUGACCAUGGAUGAUAUAUUUGACCUCUCUGAGCCUUUGAUUUCCCGUGUAAAUAAAUUUAAGUUGCCCUGAGUUAACCAAAGCUUAUGAAGUUCCCUUUUUGAAAAAAAUGAAAUUAACAAAUAGUAGCUGUGAAAAUGAAAAAAGAACGUAUAUACAACAGCUCUCCCUUGCCUGGCACAUGCUGGGCGCUCCAAAGUUGGUGGCUAUUAGCAGUGCUAGGGAAAGGUAGGGGAGUUUGACAAGAGGAAGGGGUUCUGAAGGUCUUUGAUCUUGGCCAGGUCAACUUUGACUUGGGACUAGUUAAAUGUGGGGAAGAAGCUACUAAACACUGGGUAAACCAUACAUGCUUCCCUGUAUCACAAGGCAAAGUGGCACAGCGGGCCCAUCUCCUGUUCCUAAGAAGCGGGUAAACCAGGCGGAUGGUUAACUCACUGGCCUGGUUGGGCUUGUCCCGUCGCUGUCCCCGCUGACAUCGGUGAGCUCUCCCCAGGUCCCGCUCCUGCUGCCAGUGCCAGCCCAGAGCCCUCAUGGUAGCACCCCCUCCUCUCCCACUCUGCUCCUGCAGACUUUCCCGUGUCAGGCCUGUCACACCCACACUGCCUCUUUGCGUGCACUGCAGCCACUGUCCCGGCUUAGGGCUUCACCUCUUGUUCUCAGAUGCCUAGCUGGUCUCCUUCCUAUACAGGCCUUCUUCUCUGACAUCCUUAAACACUGCUUGGUACAUGGCUGUUUUCCAAGCAAACAGUUUUGAUAUUGAUGGAGAUGAACAGAGUGAACUUAAAGCUGUAGCCUGACAUUCAAGACUCUCAAAAUUGGAGUUCCAGUUGUGUGUGGCACAGCAGAAAUGAAUCCAACUAGUAUCCAUGAGGAUCCGGGUUUGAUCCCUGGUUUUACUCAGUGGAUCGGGGAUCUAGCAUUGCCAUGCACUGUGAUGUAGGUUGCAGACAUGGCUCGGAUCCCGAGUUGCUAUGGCUGUGGUGUAGGCCUGUAUCUAUAGCUCUGAUUCAACCCCUGGCCUGGGAACUUCCUUAUGCUAUGGGAGCGGCCCUAAAG
RNAcentral lists this long non-coding RNA (4862 nucleotides) under Sus scrofa (pig). RNAcentral describes it as "lncRNA (ENSSSCG00000060978.1)". The record is from RNAcentral. Lineage: Eukaryota; Metazoa; Chordata; Mammalia; Artiodactyla; Suidae.